UACGCAGGGGGCUAGCGUUGUUCGGAAUUACUGGGCGUAAAGCGCAUGUAGGCGGAUAUUUAAGUCAGGGGUGAAAUCCCGAGGCUCAACCUCGGAACUGCCUUUGAUACUGGAUGUCUUGAGUGUGAGAGAGGUGAGUGGAACUCCGAGUGUAGAGGUGAAAUUCGUAGAUAUUCGGCGGAACACCAGUGGCGAAGGCGACUCACUGGCCCGAUACUGACGCUGAGGCGCGAAAGCGUGGGGAGCAAACAGG
This 253-nucleotide ribosomal RNA is filed under the name uncultured bacterium. RNAcentral's name for it is "partial 16S ribosomal RNA". It matches the Rfam family "Bacterial small subunit ribosomal RNA", at positions 524 to 776 of the family's 1533-position model. The record is from RNAcentral.